This 253-nucleotide ribosomal RNA is filed under the name uncultured bacterium. RNAcentral's name for it is "partial 16S ribosomal RNA". It matches the Rfam family "Bacterial small subunit ribosomal RNA", at positions 524 to 776 of the family's 1533-position model. The record is from RNAcentral.
UACGUAGGGGGCAAGCGUUGUCCGGAAUCAUUGGGCGUAAAGCGCGCGUAGGCGGCCCUGUAAGUCCGUUGGGAAAGUCGAAGGCUCAACCUUCGAAAGCCGAUGGAUACUGCAGGGCUAGAGUCCGGAAGAGGCGAGUGGAAUUCCUGGUGUAGCGGUGGAAUGCGCAGAUAUCAGGAGGAACACCGGUGGCGAAGGCGGUUCUCUGGGCAUGACCUGACGCUGAGGAGCGAAAACAUGGGGAGCGAACAGG